Molecule: long non-coding RNA, 1770 nt
Organism: Clupea harengus (Atlantic herring)
Lineage: Eukaryota; Metazoa; Chordata; Actinopteri; Clupeiformes; Clupeidae
Source: Ensembl
GUCCUGGGAAGGAAUUUGGGGUAUUUAGUGAGAUUUGGAGAUUUAAAAAGAUGUGCUGUGUCUGUGCCUGCGCUCUACAGACAGGCCCUUUCAGGAAAGUAUGUUGUACUCACACAGACAGUACUGUGUCUAAGGCUUCUGUCAACAUUUAGUGUCUUAAAACAGCAAAUAGGAGUACUAGGAAUUUGUAUACAUAUAUACUAAAUAUGCUCCCAUUUGUAUUGCCUUUAAAAGGCUAAGAGCAGAUGAGCAUUAUCCUGCUCGGUUUUGAAACCAUUCUCUUACCAUUCUAAAACUGCUGCGGUUGGGUCGAUGACGCCAGUCCUUCCUGGGGUUGUGUGGCCAUCUUGGUGAAAAUGACAUCAGAUGGAUGGGCGGGCGCCGCCCUCUAACCAGCAGUGCUGUGCCAGGGAAACAGGAUGUCACAUCUGAGGCCACGGUUUCUUUCGAAGGCGUUUAUGCAUGCCUCACAUCACCAGUUUCCCUUGGGGAAUCGGAGUUUAUGGCUGGGUUCGUCUCUAAAAUUCAUCUGAUUUUCUUGAAUGAGUUCACGUGAUGGGUUAUCGCUCAUCUUCAGAAUCAGAAUCAGAAUCAGCUGGUGUACCAGAGACCCAUGAGCAUCUCCAUUCAACGUGCUGAUUCCUAGUAUACCCAACGCAUUGCAUGCCUCUUGAAUUAUACAGGUGAUUGUAUAGACGCGUUCACAUUCAAAGUAACACUAUGCAACAAUUUGACACUUUCUGAGGUAUGGUUUUAUAGGCAACUAGUUUUGGUACCAUUCUCAAAUUCAUUUUGAUAGCGUAUGGUCAUGUGAAGGACAGAUAAACACUUUGUGUCUUUCCCACUAGUCAUCCAGGAUAUGCCCUAUGUAGUUCUGUGUACCGGGCUGGAACACCCUGUAAAAAUGGGAGAAAAGCUUUCACAGCAUGACCUUGCCAGCUAUACUGCCAAAAGACACCAGUUAGUGUGAUGGCAAGCAUCUAUCAGUGUCAGCUGGGCUGUUGGUGGUGUUUGCAGGGUUUUUGCAUGUCUUUUAGGUAGUUAGCUUGCUAGUUUUGGAACAGAACUCCUUAUUGCUGCUUUAAGAUUAAGACAACAAAAGUAAGAUGCUUUGUGAAGAAAUACUACGCUUUAACGGUUACCUCACUCUUGUGAGUAUUUAAUUCCUCCCUUUAACAGUGAACACUACAUACUGCAGCUUUAACAGUGAACACUACAUACUGCAGCUUUAAGCUCCCUUUAACAGUGAACACUACAUACUGCAGCUUUAACAGUGAACAUUACAUACUGCAGCUUUAAGUUCCCUUUAACAGUGAACACUAGAUACUGCAGCUUUAACAGUGAACACUACAUACUGCAGCUUUAAGCUCCCUUUAACAGUGAACACUACAUACUGCAGCUUUAACAGUGAACAUUACAUACUGCAGCUUUAAGCUCCCUUUAACAGUGAACACUACAUACUGCAGCUUUGACAGUGAACACUACAUACUGCAGCUUUAAGCUCCCUCGGCAUGAUGGUUAUUCUUGUGGAGAGGAAGAGUCCAGUCCAGUCCAGGCAUCCAGUCUAUCAAUCGUUCUUUCAUUUUUCAAAAUAAAACAGACAAACAAAAAGGAAACUAUUCGUUUUUCAAAACCACAAUAGAAAAAAAGACCAAUUUUAAAGUUUGUGCUCGAAACAACAUAACAAGCAAAUCCGUGUAUCAUUCUUUUUUUGGGGGGGGUUUAAAUAAAUCAAAUCAUCCCCCUGCCAUCUUUCCCCCCUCGGCUUAC